Molecule: long non-coding RNA, 1513 nt
Filed under: Cricetulus griseus (Chinese hamster)
Lineage: Eukaryota; Metazoa; Chordata; Mammalia; Rodentia; Cricetidae
Description: lncRNA (ENSCGRG00015036743.1)
Source: RNAcentral
CAAGACUGGAAGAGCUUCUCUGUUUUCGGUUUCACUUUUGGGCUUGCGUACAGACGGCUACCACGUUGGCUGGCUAAGUUGCUCUAUAAGUUUAUCUCCUACCACUCAUCAAAGAAGAUUUUCUUUUCAAGUGACAGAGACUACCACAGUAAACCACAAUUGGUUAAAAUACAGUGAGCAAUUGAUUAUGUGGUGUCUGGCGCCAACAGAUACAUCUACAACAAAAUUCCAACACCUAACGUUCAGGAGACAUCAUGGAAAAGGGAGUGGAAAGAUUCUAAGAGUCAGAUAUUGUGUCUUCUAAAAAUGAUAGAUGGACCGGGAGCCGCAGCAGCUCUCUACACACUUUAGCUCUCUUUGGACUCCUGAAAGAAUAAAGCCAUUGUUCCAGGGUGUGCAGCCCAGAAUGAGCCUGGUCCACAGCAGCGGCAUGAAUGGGAGUCUGUGGUUCUUACACACCUGGGGACCAGGUGGGGAUGUAUCAAAACAACCAGGAGAGGAGAGUGUGUGAUGGACCAUUUGUCAUAUUAGCUAGACCUCUUUGAAAGUCACUCCCCCUCCUUCACCUCUUUGUGGGUAAUUUUCCAUUUCUAGCAAUGCUGGGGCCUAGCUAACCACAGGUUAACACCCACAUUGUAUCUUUUGUCUUCAGGGAAUUUAAAUCUGGGCCCAGUGUAUUUGUGAAAGACACAUUUCUCAAGAAGUUUGUGGGGCAGAAAUUCUCUCCUUUAAGACGUUCGGUGAUAGUCCCGAGGAUGUGUGCCUGAGACAGGCUGAUCUAGGAAAACCUGAAUGCUGCCUUGACUACAUGCCAACCCAAAGGAAAUGAGUUAAUGAAUUACUAGGCUAAAUGAUCUGAAGCUGGUAUAGGAUUCAGGGAAACUAGAAAAAGGCACUAAAUUCUUCUCACUAACAGAGACCAUGUUGGGGCUCUCUUGUAUGUCAUGUAAUUGUAUUUUGAUCUCAUUAAAUAUCCCCCAUGAUACCUUUGCUCAUCAUACUCAUAACAAAAUAUGUAACUGAGGAUCAACAGAGUAAGGGCACAGAUUGAAGUGACUGUCUAGAAAAGUUCAGAGGCAGAACCUGAGUUCAAAAGUUUGCAUGCCUCAAUUGAAUUGUUCAUGAAGAAUAACUGCCAGUGUUCUUUGAGCAGUCAUUUAAAUAAAGCCAGAAAGUGAUGACAAGACAUGGCUGUCUGAGACUACCAUUGUUUGCAAUGUGCCCUCAGUGUUUCUUAAGUUUGUUCAUGAAGAUAAGACUAAUGACUCUCUGUGUAUGUCUCAUUCAUUAGGGACUAGCAUGCAGUCAGUGAGCUAACAAGAAAAAUACUUUAUAAGUUCCAGCCACACCACUGCCACCAGUAAAUGAAUGACUUUGGAGACAUUAUUUAAAAUUGGUGUGUACCUUUUCUUAACUUCAAAAAAAUAGAUCCAAUAGUAGUACUUAUCUCACUAAGUCAUUAUAAUGAUGAAAUUAGAUAAUGCAUAUUCACUUAGAGUGACUUGCAACACAC